AUAUACUAUUUUUCAUGGCAAAUUCAGACUUUCAACUUAUUGGAGGGUGAAAUAAGUCUUGGUGAAGUAACUUGAGAUUAUAAUCAUUUUAAGUGUAUUAUAACAGUGCUUUGCCCAUAAGAGAGGUGUGCAAUGAAUAGUUGUGGUUCUCGUGUGUUGCUGAGUUGAGUACUUUUCUACAUUGUAAAUAAUAGAUUUACCAUUGAACUUUAGGAAAUACAUAAGUUGAAGGUUUUCUGUAUCAUAUUCUCUAGAAUAACUUUCUCCUCCCUGUAAAACUGCCAAACCUGCACUUCUAUAAGAGUCAUCCAGGAUCAAAAGUUUCUCCAGAAAUAUAUACCAUGGAGAGUGCCUACUCCCACUACAGAUUUCAUUUUCAGCUCAUCGGCUAUUGUUAGUAUAUUGUAUGUGUGGCCCAAGACAAUUCUUCUUCCACUGUGGCCCAGGGAAGCCAAAAGAUUGGACACCCCUGGUUUAUAAUGAUCAGAAAGAUGGGCUGUUUUUUUUUAAGGUAAUAAUUUAAACACAAUGAAAUGUGUAGGUCUUAAGUGUACAAAGUAUACAAAUACACACGUGUGUGUGUGUUUUAAAUCGGGCAGCUCUGAGAGUCACAGGUGAUUCUGAAAGACUCCCCAGAGUGUUUUGAUUAAUAUAUACACCUGUGAAACUAUCACUCCAUCAUGAUAUAGAACAUUUCAGUCAUCCCAGAAAUUUCCCCUAUGGGAUGAACUUAUUUCAAAGCAACUUCUUAAGCUACAUUUUUGGUGAAAUGACAUUUGUUGGUAGUUUGUGGUUUUCUUGCUGGUUGCUUCGGAUAUAUUCCUUAACUCUGUAAUUUAUUUUCUCUAUCUGAACAACUUGUCACCUUAGAGUAUCCCUUUCUAGAAAACAUGCUAAUACUGUAAUGUACUUAAUAGGAAGGAGAGAAAUGGAACUCAGGUUAUUGGAUUGGCUAUCAAAGUGCUGAAUUGAAACACUGACCAAGUAAAUUGCAUGAAAUAAUUUGUAUUAUAAACUGUUUUUCAUUGUAGUAAGUGAAAUGUCUGUUGUCUUAACGACUGACAGUCGGAAGAGGUCUUGGUUUGCUCCAGACAUGGAUGUUUGGGGAAGGGUAUUAGGGGAGCAAGUGACUAAGGACCUGAUGGGGUGAUUUCCAGAGGCAGCUGUGUGCCAGAGACUUGGGAACAUGAGGCUCUUUGGUGGGUGCAGAAGCGCAGGAGAGCAACGUGGAUUUGUGCAUGCCCCCUGCACAUACCUUCUAGGCUUAGCAUUCCUCUGGCCUCUGUCGGUUCAACAUGUGGUUGAACACAGCAAACAGGAACAUCUUUUGGCUGUGGCACAAUAUUGUACUUACUGUAAAAAAGAUAGCAUUUCCUGAAUUUCUUUUGUGGGAAGUGUUAAAAAAUACAGAUAGGAUGUAUUUUUUUCCCCCUUACUGUGAAAUAGCUGAAGUUCAUCUCUCUUUCUCUCUCUCUCUUUUUCUCUUUCUCUUUCCUCUCUGUUUCUAAGGUGAAGAUAAACCUCAACUUCCAGGAAGGGAAAAAUUUAAUUAACUUAAAUAUGGGCUCAAAGGUCCAUGCCAAAACAAUGUGAUCAAUACAUAGGUUAAAAUUGUCCUAAAGAGGACUAUGGAAUGGAUUGCAACAUGGUUCAGGUCAGAUGACUUCUGGGAUUACUAGCCUGGUAGUCCAAAAAGACAUUGCAUGCUGUGAGGGAAAUAAAAACAAUAAUGCGAAAACAACGUUAAGGAUCUACUCCAAGUAUGGCCCACAAAACACUCUUGAGCUGCUUGCUGUUGCGCCCCUGUGCGUUUCAUCCCUCCUGCUCUCUUCGUCAACCCUACAGCAUGUGGGGUGUGAAAUCACUUGAGAAACUGUUUCCACUGGUUUGCUAUGAGAAUUUCAUAGUUUGACCCCUGAAAAUGAAGGGAAUUAGAAUUGAUAGGAGGGAUGAUUUGGUGCCCAAAGUGGUGAAUUGGUGCCAGAAGGUCACCUGAGUAAGAAAUGCCUUUGCCUGGUGGCUACGUAAGUUAGAAAUAAGUGAGCUGAAAAUUAAAGUAAAAAAGGUUAAUUUCUAUGAGAAUAUCAGUUGGACAGACAGCAAUUAGAUAAGGUACAAUCUAAGAAGUAAAGCAGGAGAGAGAGUUUACUUAAUAACUAAAUAUUUACUUUUAUCUCUUUCACUCACUUGUAAACCAAGAUAAGCCUGUUUGUUUUCUAUAUAAGAGUUAAUGCUCUAUGAUUAAUUAUAUUCAUUAUUCC
This 2261-nucleotide long non-coding RNA is filed under the name Homo sapiens (human). Its description in RNAcentral is "HSALNT0321357". The record is from RNAcentral. Lineage: Eukaryota; Metazoa; Chordata; Mammalia; Primates; Hominidae.